This 506-nucleotide ribosomal RNA is filed under the name uncultured bacterium. Its description in RNAcentral is "partial 16S ribosomal RNA". It matches the Rfam family "Bacterial small subunit ribosomal RNA", at positions 29 to 523 of the family's 1533-position model. The record is from RNAcentral.
AUUGAACGCUGGCGGCAGGCCUAACACAUGCAAGUCGAACGGCAGCACAGAAGAGCUUGCUCUCUGGGUGGCGAGUGGCGGACGGGUGAGUAAUGUCUGGGAAACUGCCCGAUGGAGGGGGAUAACUACUGGAAACGGUAGCUAAUACCGCAUAACGUCGCGAGACCAAAGUGGGGGACCUUCGGGCCUCACACCAUCGGAUGUGCCCAGAUGGGAUUAGCUAGUAGGUGGGGUAAUGGCUCACCUAGGCGACGACUCCUAGCUGGUCUGAGAGGAUGCCAAGCCACACUGGAACUGAGAACAGGUCCAGACUCCUACGGGAGGCAGCAGUGGGGAAUAUUGCACAAUGGGCGCAAGCCUGAUGCAGCCAUGCCGCGUGUAUGAAGAAGGCCUUCGGGUUGUAAAGUACUUUCAGCGGGGAGGAAGGCGGUGAGGUUAAUAACCUCGCCGAUUGACGUUACCCGCAGAAGAAGCACCGGCUAACUCCGUGCCAGCCGCCGCCGUAA